Molecule: ribosomal RNA, 283 nt
Filed under: Klebsiella pneumoniae
Lineage: Bacteria; Pseudomonadati; Pseudomonadota; Gammaproteobacteria; Enterobacterales; Enterobacteriaceae
Description: partial 16S ribosomal RNA
Rfam family: Bacterial small subunit ribosomal RNA
Source: RNAcentral
ACUUAAAUUGAAGAGUUUGAUCAUGGCUCAGAUUGAACGCUGGCGGCAGGCCUAACACAUGCAAGUCGAGCGGUAGCACAGAGAGCUUGCUCUCGGGUGACGAGCGGCGGACGGGUGAGUAAUGUCUGGGAAACUGCCUGAUGGAGGGGGAUAACUACUGGAAACGGUAGCUAAUACCGCAUAACGUCGCAAGACCAAAGUGGGGGACCUUCGGGCCUCAUGCCAUCAGAUGUGCCCAGAUGGGAUUAGCUAGUAGGUGGGGUAACGGCUCACCUAGGCGACG